CAGUCGCCGCGGUAAUACGUAGGUGGCAAGCGUUGUCCGGAAUUAUUGGGCGUAAAGGGCUCGCAGGCGGUUUCUUAAGUCUGAUGUGAAAGCCCCCGGCUCAACCGGGGAGGGUCAUUGGAAACUGGGAAACUUGAGUGCAGAAGAGGAGAGUGGAAUUCCACGUGUAGCGGUGAAAUGCGUAGAGAUGUGGAGGAACUCCAGUGGCGAAGGCGACUCUCUGGUCUGUAACUGACGCUGAGGAGCGAAAGCGUGGGGAGCGAACAGGAUUAGAUACCCGCGUAGUCCCUGUCUCUUAUAC
This 301-nucleotide ribosomal RNA is filed under the name uncultured bacterium. RNAcentral's name for it is "partial 16S ribosomal RNA". It matches the Rfam family "Bacterial small subunit ribosomal RNA", at positions 509 to 807 of the family's 1533-position model. The record is from RNAcentral.